CUGAGGAGGAGGAGGACGGUGGCCAUGGCGACGGUGCCGGGAGCCCGGCGGCAGGUCCUGCCGGUGGGAGGAGGCUUGGGUGGGCUCGCCAAGGCGCUGGGCGCCGUCCCCUCCUCUGGAGACGCUCUGCCCAGCGCAGCUGCCGAGGCUGCCGCUGGGCCCAGGCGGACAAAGCCAGGGGAGCAGCUGGCUGGGCUGUCAGGAGGCCUCCCGGGCAGGCAGCCGGGAGCCGCGGCGGCGGGAGGGCCCCGGGGCCCCGGCCCGGUGCGAGAAGCUCUCCCGCUGCAAGGAAGGUCUCCCCGAGCCCUCUAACGAACGUGUGCGCCGGUGAGAGCUGAACUGCGAUUGCUUCCUCACCCAGCAGCAAGGAACAGCUGGAGUCCGUUUGUCGCUGGGGAGCUGGCGGUGUGGUCUGACACCAGAGCCCCCGUGUAGCUACCGUGUGACGUGCCCGCAGCCAGUAAACCAAGUCGGAAACCGACCUCGGCGUCUUAAUUACUUCUGGCCAAGAGAAAACGUUCUCUCCGGUUUCAGCGGCAGAGGCGGCUGCUGCCCGGAGCGGCUGGGAUGCACCGAUGCACUGAGCUGCAGGGCUGCCAGGGCAGAGCAAGCCCCCGAACUGCCCCUUUGAUCCUCCGCACGGAACCAAAACCAACCAUUCACACCUACGAAAAGGUCACAGAGCGUGGCGUCAGUUGCAAAGAAAACAAACAAAUCGCUGCCCCACACACACACCUCGUUAGCGGGCUCCGCGGGCACGGUCCGCAGAACGCGCUCGGCUCUUGGCAGUUUCCAUCUCCCGGAGCUCUGCUUUAUUUCCCCUCAAAGCUGGAGAACGUGCAGGGUGGGAAUGCCCGCAAAAAUGUGCCAACUUUAACGUGGCUCUGGCUUUGUCACUGUUUUGGUGUCGUUGUGGGGGUGACGCUUCUCUUUGGCAGACAGAAAUGACACGCUGAUUGACUUCUUUUUAUAUAGAAAGCAAGGUGAGCGUGAUGACAACUGAAAAAUCGGGAGGCAAUAAAUGCUCAGGAGCAACAAGGGGGGGAAAGAGAGAGGGACGAGUGAGGCGUUUGUAUUGACCACGACCCAGGAAAAACGAAGUAGAAACAGAAUUAAACCCAGAACGUUCUCUAA
This is a long non-coding RNA of Apus apus (common swift), 1134 nucleotides long. RefSeq lists it as uncharacterized. NCBI's taxonomy places the organism in Eukaryota, Metazoa, Chordata, Aves, Apodiformes, Apodidae. The transcript is spliced from 2 exons. The record is from RefSeq and is a predicted model, not a curated record.